This 253-nucleotide ribosomal RNA is filed under the name uncultured bacterium. RNAcentral's name for it is "partial 16S ribosomal RNA". It matches the Rfam family "Bacterial small subunit ribosomal RNA", at positions 524 to 776 of the family's 1533-position model. The record is from RNAcentral.
UACAGAGGGCUCUAGCGUUGUUCGGAUUCAUUGGGCGUAAAGGGUGCGUAGGUGGCAUGGUAAGUCGGAUGUGAAAUCCCGGGGCUCAACCCCGGAACUGCAUUCGAUACUGCUGCGCUAGAGUACUGGAGAGGAGAUUGGAAUUUACGGUGUAGCAGUGAAAUGCGUAGAUAUCGUAAGGAAGACCAGUGGCGAAGGCGGAUCUCUGGACAGUUACUGACACUGAGGCACGAAGGCCAGGGGAGCAAACGGG